Molecule: ribosomal RNA, 1946 nt
Filed under: Escherichia coli
Lineage: Bacteria; Pseudomonadati; Pseudomonadota; Gammaproteobacteria; Enterobacterales; Enterobacteriaceae
Description: partial 23S ribosomal RNA
Rfam family: Bacterial large subunit ribosomal RNA
Source: RNAcentral
AUAAUGGGUCAGCGACUUAUAUUCUGUAGCAAGGUUAACCGAAUAGGGGAGCCGAAGGGAAACCGAGUCUUAACUGGGCGUUAAGUUGCAGGGUAUAGACCCGAAACCCGGUGAUCUAGCCAUGGGCAGGUUGAAGGUUGGGUAACACUAACUGGAGGACCGAACCGACUAAUGUUGAAAAAUUAGCGGAUGACUUGUGGCUGGGGGUGAAAGGCCAAUCAAACCGGGAGAUAGCUGGUUCUCCCCGAAAGCUAUUUAGGUAGCGCCUCGUGAAUUCAUCUCCGGGGGUAGAGCACUGUUUCGGCAAGGGGGUCAUCCCGACUUACCAACCCGAUGCAAACUGCGAAUACCGGAGAAUGUUAUCACGGGAGACACACGGCGGGUGCUAACGUCCGUCGUGAAGAGGGAAACAACCCAGACCGCCAGCUAAGGUCCCAAAGUCAUGGUUAAGUGGGAAACGAUGUGGGAAGGCCCAGACAGCCAGGAUGUUGGCUUAGAAGCAGCCAUCAUUUAAAGAAAGCGUAAUAGCUCACUGGUCGAGUCGGCCUGCGCGGAAGAUGUAACGGGGCUAAACCAUGCACCGAAGCUGCGGCAGCGACGCUGAUGCGUUGUUGGGUAGGGGAGCGUUCUGUAAGCCUGUGAAGGUGUGCUGUGAGGCAUGCUGGAGGUAUCAGAAGUGCGAAUGCUGACAUAAGUAACGAUAAAGCGGGUGAAAAGCCCGCUCGCCGGAAGACCAAGGGUUCCUGUCCAACGUUAAUCGGGGCAGGGUGAGUCGACCCCUAAGGCGAGGCCGAAAGGCGUAGUCGAUGGGAAACAGGUUAAUAUUCCUGUACUUGGUGUUACUGCGAAGGGGGGACGGAGAAGGCUAUGUUGGCCGGGCGACGGUUGUCCCGGUUUAAGCGUGUAGGCUGGUUUUCCAGGCAAAUCCGGAAAAUCAAGGCUGAGGCGUGAUGACGAGGCACUACGGUGCUGAAGCAACAAAUGCCCUGCUUCCAGGAAAAGCCUCUAAGCAUCAGGUAACAUCAAAUCGUACCCCAAACCGACACAGGUGGUCAGGUAGAGAAUACCAAGGCGCUUGAGAGAACUCGGGUGAAGGAACUAGGCAAAAUGGUGCCGUAACUUCGGGAGAAGGCACGCUGAUAUGUAGGUGAAGUCCCUCGCGGAUGGAGCUGAAAUCAGUCGAAGAUACCAGCUGGCUGCAACUGUUUAUUAAAAACACAGCACUGUGCAAACACGAAAGUGGACGUAUACGGUGUGACGCCUGCCCGGUGCCGGAAGGUUAAUUGAUGGGGUCAGCGCAAGCGAAGCUCUUGAUCGAAGCCCCGGUAAACGGCGGCCGUAACUAUAACGGUCCUAAGGUAGCGAAAUUCCUUGUCGGGUAAGUUCCGACCUGCACGAAUGGCGUAAUGAUGGCCAGGCUGUCUCCACCCGAGACUCAGUGAAAUUGAACUCGCUGUGAAGAUGCAGUGUACCCGCGGCAAGACGGAAAGACCCCGUGAACCUUUACUAUAGCUUGACACUGAACAUUGAGCCUUGAUGUGUAGGAUAGGUGGGAGGCUUUGAAGUGUGGACGCCAGUCUGCAUGGAGCCGGCCUUGAAAUACCACCCUUUAAUGUUUGAUGUUCUAACGUUGACCCGUUAUCCGGGUUGCGGACAGUGUCUGGUGGGUAGUUUGACUGGGGCGGUCUCCUCCUAAAGAGUAACGGAGGAGCACGAAGGUUGGCUAAUCCUGGUCGGACAUCAGGAGGUUAGUGCAAUGGCAUAAGCCAGCUUGACUGCGAGCGUGACGGCGCGAGCAGGUGCGAAAGCAGGUCAUAGUGAUCCGGUGGUUCUGAAUGGAAGGGCCAUCGCUCAACGGAUAAAAGGUACUCCGGGGAUAACAGGCUGAUACCGCCCAAGAGUUCAUAUCGACGGCGGUGUUUGGCACCUCGAUGUCGGCUCAUCAC